RNAcentral lists this ribosomal RNA (512 nucleotides) under uncultured bacterium. RNAcentral's name for it is "partial 16S ribosomal RNA". It matches the Rfam family "Bacterial small subunit ribosomal RNA", at positions 28 to 507 of the family's 1533-position model. The record is from RNAcentral.
GAUGGACGCUGGCGGCGUGCCUAAUACAUGCAAGUCGAACGAAACUUCUUUAUCACCGAGUGCUUGCACUCACCGAUAAAGAGUUGAGUGGCGAACGGGUGAGUAACACGUGGGCAACCUGCCCAAAAGAGGGGGAUAACACUUGGAAACAGGUGCUAAUACCGCAUAACCAUAGUUACCGCAUGGUAACUAUGUAAAAGGUGGCUAUACUACCGCUUUUGGAUGGGCCCGCGGCGCAUUAGCUAGUUGGUAGGGUAAAGGCUUACCAAGGCAAUGAUGCGUAGCCGAAGUGAGAGGUUGAUCGGCCACAUUGGGACUGAGACACGGCCCAAACUCCUACGGGAGGCAGCAGUAGGGAAUCUUCCACAAUGGGCGAAAGCCUGAUGGAGCAACGCCGCGUGGAUGAAGAAGGUCUUCGGAUCGUAAAACCCUGUUGUUAGAGAAGAAAGUGCGUGAGAGUAACUGUUCACGUUUCGACGGUAUCUAACCAGAAAGCCACUGCUAACUACGUG